GACGAACGCUGGCGGCGUGCUUAACACAUGCAAGUCGAACGGAAAGGCCUGCUUUCCCUUGUGGAUUGCGGGUACUCGAGUGGCGAACGGGUGAGUAACACGUGAGUGAUCCGCCCCCAACUUGGGUAUAAGCCUGGGAAACUGGGUCUAAUUCCCGAUAGGACUGCAGGGUGGUGCCUGUGGUGGAAAACGAUUUUCUAGUGGUUGGGGAUGAGCUCGCGGCCUAUCAGCUUGUUGGUGGGGUAAUGGCCUACCAAGGCGGCGACGGGUAGCCGGCCUGAGAGGGUGGACGGCCACAUUGGGACUGAGAUACGGCCCAGACUCCUACGGGAGGCAGCAGUGGGGAAUAUUGCACAAUGGGCGGAAGCCUGAUGCAGCGACGCCGCGUGGGGGAUGACGGCCUUCGGGUUGUAAACUCCUUUCGACCGCGAGGAAGCCACCUGGUUGGAAGGGUGGUGACGGUAGUGGUAGAAGAAGCACCGGCUAACUACGUG
Molecule: ribosomal RNA, 494 nt
Filed under: uncultured bacterium
Lineage: Bacteria
Description: partial 16S ribosomal RNA
Rfam family: Bacterial small subunit ribosomal RNA
Source: RNAcentral